AUUGGUGCGCAGUGGCGAUAUCGUAACCAAUGAGGUACAACCGAGGUGCGAUUAUUGCUAGUUGAAAACUAAUACCAAAUGGGUACAAACUUUUUAACCAUGUAAUGGGUUAUUCCACUUUUGUUGAAAAUGAGUAGUU
This is a small nuclear RNA of Topomyia yanbarensis, 139 nucleotides long. RefSeq annotates it as U4 spliceosomal RNA. The record is from RefSeq and is a predicted model, not a curated record. The transcript has a single exon. Lineage: Eukaryota; Metazoa; Arthropoda; Insecta; Diptera; Culicidae.